UCAUGCGAAUGUAAACACAUACCAUAUUAACAAACUUUUAAGCUUUUAUUGAUCCAAAAUUAAUACCAAUUUUUCAUAUGAUCUUUAAAAAUGCAAAAUAAUGUAACAUAAUUCUUCGUAAGUUAACAGGAAGGAAAAUAACGAUAUAAUAUUUAAUAUACUCAUGGUAAAGAAAUGCUACAUUAAUUAAAUUGAAAGGCAAUUUUAUUAAAUGGGCAAAAGAGCAAGUGCUUCAAAUUAGUAAAAAACAAGUAAGGAAGGGCUAACUUCGGGUGUCACCGAACAUUUUAUACUCUCGCAUGAUAAAGUGAUAAUCGAGAUUUCAUUAUCCGUCAUUUACACUUUUUUUUAUUUUGCUGUAAAAUUAAUUAGAAUUAAAUUCUGAGAGAUUUACCGAUAUUUUCGGUUAGGUUAGGUUAGGCACUGAGUUCUUCGUGUUCGAUAUCAGGGACCUUGAAAAGUUAUAGUCCGAUCACGACAAUUUUUCCACAAGGGAUACCUCAGCUCAAAUACCGUAUUUGUGUAGAGAAGGCAUCAGAUGGAAUUCAAAAUAGCGUUAUAUUGGAAGAAGGCGUGGUUGUGAACCGAUUUCGCCCAUAUUUCGUACAUGUCAUCAGGAUGUUAAGAAAAUAUUAUAUACCGAAAUUCAUUGAAAUCGGUAGAGUAGUUCCUGAGAUAUGGUUUUUGGUCCAUAAGUGGGCGACACAACGCCCAUUUUCAAUUUUUAAAAAAAGGCUGGGUGCAGCUUCCUUCUGCCAUUUGUGCCGUAAAAUUUAGUGUUUCUGACGUUUUUUGUUAGUCGGUUAACGCAUUUUUAGUGAUUUUCAACAUAACCUUUGUAUGGGAGAUGCGCGUGGUUAUUAUCCGAUUUCUUCCAUUUUUGAACUGUAUAUGGAAAUA
Bactrocera dorsalis (oriental fruit fly) is the source of this 900-nucleotide long non-coding RNA. RefSeq lists it as uncharacterized. The transcript has 2 exons. The record is from RefSeq and is a predicted model, not a curated record. NCBI's taxonomy places the organism in Eukaryota, Metazoa, Arthropoda, Insecta, Diptera, Tephritidae.